RNAcentral lists this long non-coding RNA (467 nucleotides) under Fukomys damarensis (Damara mole-rat). RNAcentral describes it as "lncRNA (ENSFDAG00000024751.1)". Lineage: Eukaryota; Metazoa; Chordata; Mammalia; Rodentia; Bathyergidae. The record is from RNAcentral.
CUGGUGUCUAAUUUAUCCAGCCAGGCUAAUGGCUGGAUAAAACUCUAAGGAGACAUUCUUUCACAAGCCACACCUAAACUAUUAAGACACUCUGCUGGCUUUUCUCUUGAAAUACGUGCUGAUGGUGGAGCCAUGGGUCUUGUCCACCUGUUCUGAAUUCAACAAAGGAUCAAGACCUACAAUUCAGUCCUAUUAGCCUUCAAAUGCAUGGGAAUUCUUCCUAGAUUCUUCUAUACCGUGAGUGUUAGGAACAGUUCUUUUUGCACAUAUUUAGAACACAGAGUCGUCGAUGACUUAACAGUGAUGACACGUGACACCAGAAAUAUCACCUCUACCCAUCUCUGAAAAUGAACACAAGCCUAAGCAGUAGCAACUCACUCAGCACGAGAGGUGAGAACAUUCCAGGGUCAUGGGUCAUACUGCUGUUGUAAAACUGAUGACAUCACAUAUUUGAUAUGGAACCUAAU